Molecule: non-coding RNA, 3175 nt
Organism: Ceratotherium simum simum (southern white rhinoceros)
Lineage: Eukaryota; Metazoa; Chordata; Mammalia; Perissodactyla; Rhinocerotidae
Source: RefSeq, a predicted model, not a curated record
GGGAGCCAGGACACCGCGCCGGGCAGCGGAUGAGGCGCGGAGGCCGUGGCCCAGGGCACCUCCCCCCGGCUUCCCGAACCCUGCCCGGUCCCACCCGAGGGGGAGGAUGGAAACACCAGCCGCGCUCUGAGCCCCUCAGGAAGAUAACACCCUUCCCGCCUUAUCACUCCGCGGCCCUGCAGAGACCAUUGCCUCUUCCCUUCCACAUCUCCAUCUCCCACAACGAGGCCGAGCGGAAAAGCGAGCGAUGGCGGAAAACCUGAGGAAACUGGUCUCCAACGAAUCUUUACGAUCGAUGCAGGACAAGCUAGAGUCCUGGCUGAGGGAGUACAACACAAACUCAUGUAAUCAAAAUCUAAAUCAUUGCCUUGAACUCAUUGAACAAGUUGCCAAAGUGCAGGGACAACUCUUUGGGAUCCUCACGACAGCAGCCCAAGAAGGAGGACAUUAUGAUGGGGUGGAAAUAAUCAAAUCACGCCUUUUGCCUUGGCUGGAGACCUCCUUUACUGCUGCUUCCCUGGGAAAACCUGUUGACAGCAGGGUCCCCUCUCUACAGGACACUUUUGAUAAGGAGAGACAUAAAGAGUCUGGUGUUCGGGAUCGGGACAUACAACAAUUAGACUCUGACUUGAACUCAACUCGUAAUCAACUCAACCAGGUUCAAGACGAUCUGGCUACAACUGAAAAGACUCUUGAAGAAACCAAGAACAGAUCGGCCAUAUCCCUUUUGGCUGCAGAGGAGGAAAUAAAUCAGCUAAGAAAGCAGCUUAAAUCUCUUCAAAACCAGGAGGACUCCCGCCACAGAACCUUGGAGCAUAGGAGCUCAGAGCAGAGGAGCUCGGAGCAGAGGAGAUCAGAGCAGAGGAGAUCAGAGCAGUGGGGCUCAGAGCAGCGGGGCGCCGACAGGCGGAACAAAGAGUUGCGGAGCGUGGAAGUGGUAUCUGAUUAUGAGCAACAGCUCCGAACGCUGAAAGACGAGAUAGCUGUUCUGUCUGCUGAAAAAUCUGCCCUCCAAGGAAGGUCCACCAGGAGCCGGUCUCCUAGCCCUGCCCCGCACAGACGCAGCCGCAGCCGGUCAGCCAGCCCCUCCACCGCAGUCGCGAAGAUCAGGAGCCCGUCCCCGAACCGCGCCAAACUGUCCAGCGUGGCGCGCAAGGCUGCCCUCCUGUCCCGGUUCAGCGACGCCUAUUCCCAGGGCCGCCUGGAUGCGCAGUGCAUGCUGCGGCGCUGCAUCGACAAAGCUGAGACCGUGCAGCGCAUCAUCUACAUCGCCACAGUGGAGGCAUUCCAUGUAGCUAAAAUGGCAUUCAGACAUUUCAAGAUCCGUGUGAGAAAAUCGUUGACACCAUCUUAUGUGGAGUCAAAUGAUUUUGAGGAUGCUGUCUCGGAUUAUAUCAUUUGUCAUCUUGAUCUAUAUGAUUCCCAAAGCAGUGUUAACGAUGUGAUCCGAGCCAUGAAUGUCAAUCCCAAGAUUUCAUUCCCUCCUGAAGUUGACUUUUGCCUCCUCAGUAACUUCAUCCAGGAGAUAUGUUGCAUUGCUUUCGCAAUGCAGACUUUAGAACCACCCCUAGAUAUUGCAUUUGGGGCCGAUGGAGAAGUUUUUAAUGAUUGCAAGUACCGUCGCAGCUAUGACUCCGAUUUCACUGCUCCCUUGGUCUUCUAUCACGUGUGGCCUGCUCUCAUGGAGAAUGACAAUGUCAUUAUGAAGGGAGAAGCUGUCACCAAGAGAGGGGCUUUUGUACGGUGGCCUUGCAUAGUGACAAUUCAUCCCAAGUGUUUGAUUCACAAUGGAAUUCGGUGCGAUCUGUAAGUCGAUGUCGAAGCAGGAGUUUAAGUCCCAUCUGCCCCCGUACCCAUAUUGGUUUAAGCACGAUAUCUCGAAGCCGGAGUCCUUCUCCAAUAAGAUGCGGAUUGCCGAGGUUUUAAAACCAUCAGCCAUGUUCCUCUGCCACAGUACAUCUGCAACAGCCAGCUUCCCCAGUGCCUCCAUCUGCCUGCUGUGUCUGCCUCAGACCUCACUUAAGAUAAUGUGAAAGGCAAUUCUGUGUAUUGCUGCACACAGAGAGUUAAAUGUUUUGGCUUAGCACGUUUGUAACUUCAGAUAUAUUGCAUUUUAUUUUAUUUUAUAGAUACAAAUUCCAUUAAUUUGAUAAAAAUGAUUGCAUAGGUGUUUAGGAUCAUAUUCAUUCAAAGCAAAGUCCAUUACAAGUUCAGGAUUUUCAUCCUGAAAUACUAGGCCCUUUUAUAGCAACUAUAUGAACAAAAGUGGAAAAUCUUUACCAUGCUGAGUCCAAAAGACAAGAUGAGUCAUUUUGGUUUACAAACUGAUUAUGCAUAUUAUAAUUGCUGGUAUUAGUUUUAAUGUGAAAACAAUAUUGGUGUUUUAAUUUUCUUUUACGGUUUGGAAGGCAGCUCUAAUCUCAGAUUGGGGGACUUGUAGCAGUAGCAAUGACUUUAGGCUAAAUGUAGAUGUUGAUGAUUUAUUUAAGAGAAUAUAGUUUGUUGGCUUGCUUCUCUUUUCCUACUUUGAGAGGGCCCAGUUUGAUUUAGUUGAGUGCUGUAUGUCGAAGCCACUAACUCAAGAGAAUUUUCUCGCUUCGUGAAUGUGGAGCAGUGAUUUGGAUAGAAGCCAGCUUUGAGAUAACUGUUAAUUACCUUGUGUUUUUCUUCUGGGAAUGUCUCAUACUGUUUUAAUGCACGUGUUAUAUAUAAAAGCUACCUGGGACGUGCCCUUUAUCUAUUCCACCUAGUUGUUCGCAAAUUCAGACUUUCUCUGAAUUCCAUCUGACUAAAAAUACCUAAACUCAAGGCCUAAAACUAGAGACACCACUUACUGAUUUUAAAUUAAGUGUACAUCCCUUAAUUUCUUCAGUGUGAAGUACUGUUGAAAGUUCAAGAUAAUAAUAGAAUGUGGCUUUUUGAAGAUCAGUGAUGAUCUUUCUACUUUUUUAUCACUUUAAAUCCAACCUUAAACACAAGCAUUACAAAUGCCUGUUCUUGCCCUGUGCAUUUUAGAGACAAGCUCUGAAUUGGCCAUAGAUCAGUUUGCGUAAGCUCAGUGCCAAAACCAGCACCUGAGGUUUUUCAGGUGAAAAAAACCCAAACUUCUCUAAAGCGUCUUGUUCCUUGUGCUGGGAGGUAGAGACGAGGGAGAGACCACCUCAGUCCCUGCCCC